Molecule: small RNA, 147 nt
Filed under: Macaca fascicularis (crab-eating macaque)
Lineage: Eukaryota; Metazoa; Chordata; Mammalia; Primates; Cercopithecidae
Description: Metazoan signal recognition particle RNA (ENSMFAG00000059151.1)
Source: Rfam by way of RNAcentral
GCCGGGCGUGGUGUCGGGCACCUGUAAUCCCAACUACUCAGGAGGCUGAGGCAGAGAAUUGCUUGAACCCAGGAGGCGGAGACUGCAGUGAGCCAAGAGCAUGCCACUGCACUUCAGCCUGGGUGACAGAGCAAGACUCUGCCUCAA